Molecule: ribosomal RNA, 253 nt
Filed under: uncultured bacterium
Lineage: Bacteria
Description: partial 16S ribosomal RNA
Rfam family: Bacterial small subunit ribosomal RNA
Source: RNAcentral
GACAGAGGGGGCGAGCGUUGUCCGGAGUCACUGGGCGUAAAGCGCGCGCAGGCGGUGACCUAAGUGUCGUGUGAAAGCCCCCGGCUCAACUGGGGGAGGCCAUGGCAGACUGGGUCGCUCGAGCUGCGGAGAGGCCCCUCGAAUUGCCGGUGUAGCGGUGAAAUGCGUAGAGAUCGGCAGGAAGACCCAGGGGGAAGCCAGGGGGCUGGCCGCAGGCUGACGCUGAGGCGCGACAGCGUGGGGAGCAAACCGG